GCAGAUUUAUUUUCACAGCCUUUUUUAUAUCAUAUUUACCAAGGGGUACCAACAAUUCUGACCAUGACUGUAUGUUCCUUUAUAUUGUAGGCUAAGUGUUAUUAUUGCUAUGAAUUUCAUUAAAGUUUGCUCUCCACAUGGGGGACACCCAGGGCCUGUUUCAUAAAACAAGUUUACCAAAUAAGCCAGGAUUAUUUCAGUUAGUCUGACUUAUUUUGAACCAAAUCAACUGACAAGUCAGACUAACUGAAAUACACCUGGCUUAUCUAGUAAACUUGUUUUAUGAAUCAAGCCCCUGGGCUAGUUGCCACAAGGCUUAUAUCUCAGUAUAACUACAAGGUUAUUUGAGCCAAGAGUGCCAUUUCACCACUUUUUCUUUAGCAGUGAUUUUUUUGUGUGUGUGUGUAAUGGUUUCCUCUCUUGAAUUUUUUUUGUGAAUUCUAUCCUUUAAACUAAAAUACCCAUCAUAGUUUCGCCACUUUGAUUUUCACUAAAGCUUUUGGGUAAACAAGUGAACACAAAACCACAUUGGUAUUCAGACAAGUCAACUAUACAAAAAUAAAAUUACAAAAAACAAAGGGGUGUAAUGUUUUCAGAGGAAAAGAUACCCUGGGUAUAUCAGUACCCUGAUAUAAUACAAAUACCCUGGCCAAUUGAGUUCUCAGAUUUUGACAUCUUCCUUUUUAAAUUGCAAUGAAAUUGCUCAAAUAUCCAAUUUCCCCUUAAUCAAGUACUAACGUUGUUUUCACUUGCCCUGUAAUGUUGGGGCAGGCCGUCAUGUGUCAGACACAUUUUGUACAAAGUUUGUUACUUUUAAACACUACCAUUUACUAUAAAAACUCAAUUGUAUCAACUUUGGCUAAAAAGGAAAUUACAGGCCACUGAAUGAUACGACCAAUGGUGUGACGAUUAAAAUUCAAUUUCCUCUGCAAUAGUUACAUUUUUUUAAUUUAUACAUUUAAAGAACAUGUGGCAUAAAACAAACUCACCCAAAGCAUUUGUUAAUCCUAAGUGAAACCUUACACAGAUGAAGGAUUAGUUUUGAGACUUUAGCAACGUGAUGCCAACGCAGUGGACCAUUUGAAAACUCGUCAGGUCAUAAUAAUGUGUGCAGUUACUCAAUGAGCCAGCAAUACACCGACCCUGCUGGCAGAGAAAACACCCUUCCAGUUACAUCCCACAACUAAUGAGGUACGUAGACAAUUCUAGUUGCUGUAAACAGAAUUUAAUGCAGGAUUUCAGAAACACCUAAUAUUGUUAAGCUGCAUUUGAUAACUUGUUUUCAAUUUAAAUUUAGCAAGCAACGAAUUGGGAUCAUAUGAACAUGCACAAAGUUAAAGGUUACAAGAUUAGGCCGUUAGCAAAAUUUUAAUUUUCACAAGUAUAAAACAAAUUUAAGUCAAUUUAUGUAAUAAAGUACAAAUCAAAACAAAAAUAAAAUAAAUGGAAAGUAAAUGACUAAACUUAAAGUACACUUAAAGUAUCAUUUGAGCAGAGGUUAGAAAGCAAAGACGCCGCAGGGAAUUGAACCCCGUCCUGAAAAUCAGGAGUGCCUCCACCGGAGUCUUUUGCUUUUUUUUCUUAUGAGGUUAAAAGCAAAACCUGAAGGAACAAUCCUAAGACUGUUCCCUCAGGAAAAGAAAAACCUCAAACCCGCUGCUCUACAAUACUCUGGUCUUCUAUGGCUCUUCUUUAGCCUGAAACUACAAAGACUCCAGAUCCCCCCCAAUACUCUUCAAAACGCCAUUGCUACUGCAGAAGUAAUGGUCAAAUUUUCAUAUGCUUUAACUUUGGAAGAUCAAAUCGGACCAGUGAGGUCUUGAACAAGGCUGCACUUCACAUUCAGGUAUGACUUGUUCCUAUUUAAAAGCUGAAACACAAAGAGAAGAGUUUAGAGCCCCCCCCACCCCAAGUGUCAAAACCAGUGUAAUAGAAAUGUAAUUUACCACCAAACAAUGGUCCAGGUCUCGAAAUCCCACCAACACGGCCAGAACAAAAUCCUGCCUUUGUAAAUCACCGUUCCUGGAACUAGACAAAUGCUUGCAGGGUUUUUCCACCCCCCCACCCCCUCCGAACUAUUUUCAUAAUUUUAAGAGGCAAAAGUGCACGUAAAACUUAUCUCCAGCCAGUGACGCUUUACACCCAAUUCUUCAGAGUAAAAGAAUUAGCAAGUCUACAGCUGCAAUGGAAAAGAGCAAAAGUUUACAAGCCCACAUCCCCCCCUCCCCCCACAUCCCAAUUAAAUUUAUCAAUUUACAAACCAUUUCAGAUAUAAAUUAACGCAACUGCAUCGAAGCAAGCACAUCCGUCCACUCCCAUGUUACGGCUCAGUCUCAAUUUUAGAAGGAUCACAACAGCAUACCUGAAAAGAGAGAAAGUGUUGCCCCACCCCUCCCCCCCAAAGCUACCAAAUUCCAAACACUGACAUUGGAUUUGAUUGAAAUUUUAGUGCAAUUGUUAUGUGCAUGCAUACUUAUGUAAAGGUGAGUGCUUGUUUUACCCAUACACAAGAUUAAAGUUAACUACAUGUACUUAACUCAGCAAAUAGAAGCAGAGCGAUGCUCAAUUAGCAAAGUGACGAAUGAGGUUGAUCAGAGCGAAUUGAUGUUUCAUCAGGCGGUUAGGGGUCUCUCAGACGACAAGACAAAUUUGCUCCCUAAGUGAAAUUGACCUAAGAAAAAUGAAGAAUUGGAGAAAAAAAAAAAAAAAAAAAAAAAAAGACGCGCAGAAAUAGAAGAACUUCAGCGAAGGACUUCCGAGGUUUGGACUAAGCUCUCAAGUGCAUUGUAGGGGGAUUCGAUCGCCAUUCAAGUGAAGACAUUCACCAGGGCAACUGCUCUCACAGACAGCCUUGCAUUCGGAUGCAGUUGAGAAGGCAGGGAGACAGACGGGUAAUCUGAAACAGAGCUUCUACACACACACACAAACACUUCCACCACACCAACUGCAAUACUAACUGUAUGACUCAACUAAGGAGUUAAGAAAAAAAAAUGGAUCGUAGCUUCUGAAGCAUUAGUGACUGAUGUUACGUGAAGAUUCUACACUCAAGUUUAAAGAUUCAGACACCUUGUAACUAGACUCCACAGGACGACAUCAUGUAACUUUCACCACACAGCUGGCUGAUGAAAUUUCUGCAGAAAAGAGAAAAGUGCAAAGCCCUCUCCACCCCAAACACAUCUUUCCCAGAUAGCUUUCGGUUGUUCAAACAGUUCCAAAUAAAGCUGCACAGUUGCGCAGCUUUUCCCAGCCACUCUUAAUUUGGAGUCUGGAGCACAUUUGUGCAACAGUGGAACAGACCAUUACUAUACAUUUGUAAAGCAACUUUUUUCUACCCUGCACAGUUGCGCAGAGCAGUGGCUGGGUAAUUAAUAUUUAAAAAGCAUAGUACAGUUUAAAGUUUACUGUAGCACAAUGAAUUGUUCUGCCUGCCGGAGAAUUCGGUGGAACUGGGUCAUAACUUCAGAGAGGUGGCAUUCUUCACGAGGCUUUGUAAGACUCUGCAAGACCAAAAGUGGCAAAAAGACAGACCCCUAUGCCCACCCUUACAAAACCCAAUAUAAAUAUAAUAAAUAAAAAAAAAAAGACAAGAUCCAGAUAAAAGGGGAGGCUUAUAGCCAAAGAGACUACAAUUUAAUGCAUAUCUUCAGGUUAAAUUUAUAUUUUGCCUUUCUUCCCUUGACCUGAGCAGUUGUAGGACUGGACUGAUCUGCCUCUCCAACUUGAACAGUUGACAUCAAGCCCUGGCAUCCAAGCUCUACAAAAAGCGCCAAGCUUUACACUCACACCUGAAAAAGCAGAGAAAUACCCAAGAAAGCCCCACACAUACCCCAAGAAACAAAAUGCAUACCAAAAUUUCAAUCACAACAAGCUAUGCAUUUAUUAACUGAAAAUGGGAACAAUUACAGAAUGUACACUUGCAUACAAAUUACAAAAGCUAAUUUGUAAUAAGUGCUCAACCACACAGCUUACAAUUAUAACAGACUAUUAAUGGAAAAAGGUUAGGAACAAAUGGGCUUGCUUAGUGACCUUACGUGACCAAAAGAGGCUGAAGUUGAUUGAUGUGAAAGCAAAUCUUUACAUACAAUGUUAGGAGGACAUCUUCAGUUGAAAGCAUUCAGGGACACGGCACACUGAAAAUGCAAAGGGGGAGGAAAAGAAAGCCUACACACAUCCCCACUCUUUAAAAUACAAAAACGUAACCAAACAAUAAGCAACUAAUACAAUUACUGCUUAGACACUUAGCCAUCAAGUUGUAUCCAAGUACAAUACAAUGACAGACAAAAGCAAGUGAAGUCAUUUACAUGAAUACCCAAUUACUUGCCAUUAGAAAACCUAAAAAGCAUCUUGGCCUCUAUUGAAGUAGCUUUGCUCCUUAAGUGGGGGAGGGGAGCAGAUAUUGGUUGGACCACCAGCUUUGUUCUUUGAGGGUUUGUUUCAAUCUGUAAGAGUAAAAAUUAAAGCAAUCCCCCCCAGAUCCACAAACCCCAUAGCACAAUAUCAAUACACAACCAAUAUCGAUAUACCAUUCAAUUAUGAGACAAAAGAAUGCCAUAAUGUGUGUUGCCAUAAUGUGUGGUGAAGCGUUUGAUCCCAUGCCGCGUUACCAAAGAUGUAAACGCUGGUCUAGCUGCCAUGGAAGGCUUUUAACAGGGCCACUCAUCCACUGGCAGACACACUGGUGGUUCCUUCCCCCAUACAGCGCUAUUCAAGCCACUGCCACCCUUAAAUAAAGCCGCUUUCACAAGCUGCAAAGUCUAGGAAAAGAUUGGGUUAACAGCCCACACCCCUCCCACCCCGAUGCCCAUGACAAUCCCCAACAUUCAAUACUGGAAAAUGUGUUUGCAAGUAUAUGGUUCACAAUUCCAAACACGACUUAAAUUCAAUGAGGUACCUUCCUAAAUCCCAUCAAAGUAGAGGCUUUCCUUGUAGCUUUGUAAGAAUCGUUACAGAGCAGUCAACAAUUUGACUCUAAAAGGGUCCACACAACAUCCUGGAAUCCCUUUUGGUUCUAUCGCCUCUAAUGUGACCAGGGCCUGUGGGAAAGAGAACUCGAGAAACGCAUUUGCCCCUCCCAAACCCCCAAAACACUGUGCAAUAACAUAACACUAUUCAGAAACUGCAUUUGCAAAAUCUGUGUUAAUACUUUUACAAAAAAUAUUGCGUUUCUCGCUUUUUUUUUUUAUAAAUAAAAGCAGUUGCUUCAAUUUAAAAUUUAAAUUCAUGCAUGAACUCGUCAAAAUUUUUACCGGCAGGCAAUACGCAGCUGCCCUGGCAUCAUAUGUCGGACUGACGCAGUGGGGGUGCAGUAGAGGUAGUUGUGUCGUGUAGGGACAGACGCAGAGGAACUUCAACUCCGAAAAACCCUUCGCAUGUGGAUUGCUUCUCAGGACAGACCUAAUGGAUUUAAGCGGAUAUGGGGACGACUUUUCCACGGGCCUAGAACCAAAACGCAGCGGAGGCGUGGUCGAUUAAGGACGGUCAUCUCCACAGCACACUAACGCCAUUCAUCAGACUUGGCCAACAACAGGAUAGACGACACAUCGGAAUUUCAAACAUUGUCACUCACCACGCCUGAAAAGGAAAGAACAGAACUUCGCGAGCAAAAGUGUUCUGGAAUGCAAACUACUGACAUGACUUCAGAAUUACACAGGAUACCUCUACCCAUACAAACCAAAUGCCCCCUUCAUGACUCUGAUAUGGUGAAGACCCCUGAUACUCUCUGCUCGUGAGCCCUCUUUCUUUCUCUGCAGCUGUUGGGACAUUCAUCUUUGGCUUGCUCUGAUCUAGACCAGCUGAGCUCCCUCUGGUGGCGAAAGUUGUCCUGACGCUACUCUGCCCUGUGGCUCUGGCUCCCCCUCUGGAUACUGCUGCUCCUCGCCCUGCUCUGUGCCCUCUGAUCCUCCCCUGGUUCCUCUCUGGUCCUGCCUGGCUCGCCAUCUGGUCUUGAUUCUCCCUGGUCCUGGCCUCUGCUGUAGAUCUUUUCUUCCAUCCGUUGUCAUCUAAGCGCUAGGUCGUUACUGAAUAAGAUUAACUCAGUCCAUUUCAACUUUCCUCCGUACUUCAGUCUUCUGCUGAUAUUUUUGGAUCAUGAAAAACAAGCUAUGCUCCUAUUUCACAGCUGUUGCGCAACAUGUGACUCAGUCCAUAAAAGCGAUCACUUGUGUGGGUUGGUCAAGCACUCAAAGUGCGUCAUCGUAGCUGAUUAAAACGCUUCGAGGCUUAUAAAUAGAUGCUCGAAAUAUUGGUUUUAUGGAAGGAAAAAAAAAAAAAAAAAAUUCUAAAACAAGUUGACUGCGACUAUAAUCGUCAUCUAUAUGUUCCCAACUAUAAACUCACUUAAUGUUCAAUUUCUUCCUAAUAAAAAGGCAACAAGACGGGCUUCAAAAAAUAAGUAGAAACUAUGUAUAUUUUUUUAGUUUAUCUUCGCGGUAAGCCGUUACGGUUUUCAGACAAAAGCCAAGUCUGUUUGUUUUUAAGAAAAUCUUCUGUGACGUCAGUCUAGUCAUCAUAUAUCUGCGUGUCGUCGCGACCGCCAUUUUGUUAACGUUGCUAACGCUGAGAAUGAGAAAGCAAAUUUUGAAGAAAAACAAGCUUUUUAAGUCAAGUCCCUUCCUAAACCUCGUUGAUAGAGGAAUAUACUUAAAACUAGCUUAAUAAAAUAAGAUAACAUGGUCAUAGCAGCGCUUUGCUUUAGCCAGCUAGUAAAACAUUAACGUUAGCUAACUUGGUAAAAUAAGCGAUAACGUUCAGUUAGAUACUCCGUUUCAUAAAUUGCUUAUUUCAUAGUUUGUCUUUUCUAUUAGAAACAGCCUAACGUUAAAGUCAAUUGUUUCUUCAAAAAAAAAGGCACUUAUCAAAUCUUCUUCACGCCAAACGUUAUUACUAGAAAGCCUAAAUGUAGUCACCUGCAACAAGGUAUAAGCAUAAAGGCGAAAAAAGUUGACAAAGGACAGUGCCUCUAACUUAUCGUCAAAAAGUAAAAUAAGAUGAUACGAAAUCACAUCACCAGCUCCACGAAACCUCCCUGCCUUUCUCAGCGCCUCAGCCCGUCGUGACGCGUUUCGCU
Cyprinus carpio carpio is the source of this 7066-nucleotide long non-coding RNA. NCBI's taxonomy places the organism in Eukaryota, Metazoa, Chordata, Actinopteri, Cypriniformes, Cyprinidae. The record is from Ensembl.